GAUGAACGCUGGCGGCAUGCUUUACACAUGCAAGUCGAACGGGGAGUGGUGUUUCCGGUUGCGGACGUGUGAGUAACGCGUAAGAACCUGCCCUUGGGAGGGUAACAAGAGCUGGAAACGGCUUCUAAUACCCCGUAGGCUGAGGAGCGAAAGGAGGAAUCCGCCCAAGGAGUGGCUCGCGACUUAUUAUCUAGUUGGUGAGGUAAUAGCUUACCAAGGCCGUGAUCAGUAACGGGUCCGAGAGGAUGAACCGCAACACUGGGCCGGAGACAAGGCGAAGAAUCCUUCGGGAGGCGGCAGAGGGCAAACCGCAGAAAUGCGCGAAAGUCAAAAGGGGUAUUGCCGCGUAGAGGUAAAAGGCAUAAGGGUAACGAGUUUCUUAUCCUGGAGAACACACAAUGACGGUAUCUGGCGAAUAAGCAACGGCUAACUACGUG
RNAcentral lists this ribosomal RNA (437 nucleotides) under uncultured bacterium. RNAcentral's name for it is "partial 16S ribosomal RNA". It matches the Rfam family "Bacterial small subunit ribosomal RNA", at positions 28 to 507 of the family's 1533-position model. The record is from RNAcentral.